GAUGAACGCUGGCGGCGUGCCUAAUACAUGCAAGUCGAGCGAACGGACGAGAAGCUUGCUUUUCUGAUGUUAGCGGCGGACGGGUGAGUAACACGUGGAUAACCUACCUAUAAGACUGGGAUAACUUCGGGAAACCGGAGCUAAUACCGGAUAAUAUUUUGAACCGCAUGGUUCAAAAGUGAAAGACGGUCUUGCUGUCACUUAUAGAUGGAUCCGCGCUGCAUUAGCUAGUUGGUAAGGUAACGGCUUACCAAGGCAACGAUGCAUAGCCGACCUGAGAGGGUGAUCGGCCACACUGGAACUGAGACACGGUCCAGACUCCUACGGGAGGCAGCAGUAGGGAAUCCUCCGCAAUGGGCGAAAGCCUGACGGAGCAACGCCGCGUGAGUGAUGAAGGUCUUCGGAUCGUAAAACUCUGUUAUUAGGGAAGAACAUAUGUGUAAGUAACUGUGCACAUCUUGACGGUACCUAAUCAGAAAGCCACGGCUAACUACGUGCCAGCAGCCGCGGUAAUACGUAGGUGGCGAGCGUUAUCCGGAAUUAUUGGGCGUAAAGCGCGCGUAGGCGGUUUUUUAAGUCUGAUGUGAAAGCCCACGGCUCAACCGUGGAGGGUCAUUGGAAACUGGAAAACUUGAGUGCAGAAGAGGAAAGUGGAAUUCCAUGUGUAGCGGUGAAAUGCGCAGAGAUGUGGAGGAACACCAGUGGCGAAGGCGACUUUCUGGUCUGUAACUGACGCUGAUGUGCGAAAGCGUGGGGAUCAAACAGGAUUAGAUACCCUGGUAGUCCACGCCGUAAACGAUGAGUGCUAAGUGUUAGGGGGUUUCCGCCCCUUAGUGCUGCAGCUAACGCAUUAAGCACUCCGCCUGGGGAGUACGACCGCAAGGUUGAAACUCAAAGGAAUUGACGGGGGCCCGCACAAGCGGUGGAGCAUGUGGUUUAAUUCGAAGCAACGCGAAGAACCUUACCAAAUCUUGACAUCCUUUGACAACUCUAGAGAUAGAGCCUUCCCCUUCGGGGGACAAAGUGACAGGUGGUGCAUGGUUGUCGUCAGCUCGUGUCGUGAGAUGUUGGGUUAAGUCCCGCAACGAGCGCAACCCUUAAGCUUAGUUGCCAUCAUUAAGUUGGGCACUCUAAGUUGACUGCCGGUGACAAACCGGAGGAAGGUGGGGAUGACGUCAAAUCAUCAUGCCCCUUAUGAUUUGGGCUACACACGUGCUACAAUGGACAAUACAAAGGGCAGCGAAACCGCGAGGUCAAGCAAAUCCCAUAAAGUUGUUCUCAGUUCGGAUUGUAGUCUGCAACUCGACUACAUGAAGCUGGAAUCGCUAGUAAUCGUAGAUCAGCAUGCUACGGUGAAUACGUUCCCGGGUCU
This 1372-nucleotide ribosomal RNA is filed under the name uncultured bacterium. Its description in RNAcentral is "bacterial SSU rRNA". It matches the Rfam family "Bacterial small subunit ribosomal RNA", at positions 28 to 1381 of the family's 1533-position model. The record is from RNAcentral.